This 68-nucleotide transfer RNA is filed under the name human gut metagenome. It matches the Rfam family "tRNA". Rfam says of the family: Transfer RNA (tRNA) molecules are approximately 80 nucleotides in length. The record is from RNAcentral.
GGGAAUAGUUCAAUUGGUAGAGCAACGGUCUCCAAAACCGUGUGUUGGGGGUUCGAGUCCCUCUUCCC